AUCCUCUGACAACCCUAGAGAUAGGGCUUUCCCCUUCGGGGGACAGAGUGACAGGUGGUGCAUGGUUGUUGUCAGCUCGUGUCAUGAGAUGUUGGGUUAAGUCCCGCAACGAGCGCAACCCUUGAUCUUAGUUGCCAGCAUUCAGUUGGGCACUCUAAGGUGACUGCCGGUGACAAACCGGAGGAAGGUGGGGAUGAAGUCAAAUCAUCAUGCCCCUUAUGACGUGGGAUACACACUUGAUACAAUGGACGG
RNAcentral lists this ribosomal RNA (252 nucleotides) under uncultured bacterium. RNAcentral's name for it is "partial 16S ribosomal RNA". It matches the Rfam family "Bacterial small subunit ribosomal RNA", at positions 986 to 1237 of the family's 1533-position model. The record is from RNAcentral.